AGAGUUUGAUCCUGGCUCAGGACGAACGCUGGCGGCGUGCCUAGUACAUGCAAGUCGAGCGAGCUUGCCUAGAUGAUUUUGGUGCUUGCACUAAAUGAAACUAGAUACAAGCGAGCGGCGGACGGGUGAGUAACACGUGGGUAACCUGCCCAAGAGACUGGGAUAACACCUGGAAACAGAUGCUAAUACCGGAUAACAACACUAGACGCAUGUCUAGAGUUUGAAAGAUGGUUCUGCUAUCACUCUUGGAUGGACCUGCGGUGCAUUAGCUAGUUGGUAAGGUAACGGCUUACCAAGGCAAUGAUGCAUAGCCGAGUUGAGAGACUGAUCGGCCACAUUGGGACUGAGACACGGCCCAAACUCCUACGGGAGGCAGCAGUAGGGAAUCUUCCACAAUGGACGAAAGUCUGAUGGAGCAACGCCGCGUGAGUGAAGAAGGGUUUCGGCUCGUAAAGCUCUGUUGGUAGUGAAGAAAGAUAGAGGUAGUAACUGGCCUUUAUUUGACGGUAAUUACUUAGAAAGUCACGGCUAACUACGUGCCAGCAGCCGCGGUAAUACGUAGGUGGCAAGCGUUGUCCGGAUUUAUUGGGCGUAAAGCGAGUGCAGGCGGUUCAAUAAGUCUGAUGUGAAAGCCUUCGGCUCAACCGGAGAAUUGCAUCAGAAACUGUUGAACUUGAGUGCAGAAGAGGAGAGUGGAACUCCAUGUGUAGCGGCGGAAUGCGUAGAUAUAUGGAAGAACACCAGUGGCGAAGGCGGCUCUCUGGUCUGCAACUGACGCUGAGGCUCGAAAGCAUGGGUAGCGAACAGGAUUAGAUACCCUGGUAGUCCAUGCCGUAAACGAUGAGUGCUAAGUGUUGGGAGGUUUCCGCCUCUCAGUGCUGCAGCU
RNAcentral lists this ribosomal RNA (886 nucleotides) under uncultured bacterium. RNAcentral describes it as "bacterial SSU rRNA". It matches the Rfam family "Bacterial small subunit ribosomal RNA", at positions 8 to 853 of the family's 1533-position model. The record is from RNAcentral.